Molecule: ribosomal RNA, 468 nt
Filed under: uncultured bacterium
Lineage: Bacteria
Description: partial 16S ribosomal RNA
Rfam family: Bacterial small subunit ribosomal RNA
Source: RNAcentral
GACGAACGCUGGCGGCGUGCUUAACACAUGCAAGUCGAACGGAAAGGCCCUGCUUUUGUGGGGUGCUCGAGUGGCGAACGGGUGAGUAACACGUGAGUAACCUGCCCUUGACUUUGGGAUAACUUCAGGAAACUGGGGCUAAUGCCGGAUAGGAGCUCCUGCUGCAUGGUGGGGGUUGGAAAGUUUCGGCGGUUGGGGAUGGACGCGCGGCUUAUCAGCUUGUUGGUGGGGUAGUGGCUUACCAAGGCUUUGACGGGUAGCCGGCCUGAGAGGGUGACCGGCCACAUUGGGACUGAGAGACGGCCCAGACUCCUACGGGAGGCAGCAGUGGGGAAUAUUGCACAAUGGGCGGAAGCCUGAUGCAGCAACGCCGCGUGCGGGAUGACGGCCUUCGGGUUGUAAACCGCUUUCGCCUGUGACGAAGCGUGAGUGACGGUAAUGGGUAAAGAAGCACCGGCUAACUACGUG